Microcebus murinus (gray mouse lemur) is the source of this 870-nucleotide long non-coding RNA. RefSeq lists it as uncharacterized. The record is from RefSeq and is a predicted model, not a curated record. Lineage: Eukaryota; Metazoa; Chordata; Mammalia; Primates; Cheirogaleidae.
ACACGGGGUCUCAUCGGCCCCAAAGCCCAUUAAAACCAGGUUCGAGGCCACCAGCCUGUGAGUGAGGACCUGCCAGGACCCCGGCUGAGCACGGAGGGGAGUGGAGGAGGAGCCCCCGGUACCCACGAGACUGCGCUCAGGGCUCGCCACGCCUGUACGUCUGUGAUUUGGUGACUGCUCAGAGGACCCAAGGGGGGAGUCUUGGGAAGAGCAUCCUAAGGGCCACUGGGAGGCCGAGAGGGGCCCUGCCGUGGAGUCUGCCUUGUUAGCUUCCUUCUGAUGCACACAGGAAGCGCUUUGGAAGACUGACUCAGGAGCUGAAGUCAUAACACAAGCUAAGACCUGACUACCUACUGUCUGUGCCUCGUAGCCAAAGAUGGCCAGGAACAAGAUUGAUUUAUUGAUUUGUCGCACUGAGGCAACGAAGGAAGGAGACUGCAUGUGACGGGCAUCUCAGUAAAAGCCCCUGUCUGAAGUCGGUGAUGCACGAGAUUGGUCUGUUCAACAGGAGAACAUUGCAGCCCAGCUGUGCACGCCAGGCCAGAGCCAGCUGUCGGGGACUCCUUUUCUCUUUCUCACUGCAAAGGCAAAGCCUUGAUGCUCAAGUUCCAGCCUGCUCUCCAUCCCAGUCUCAUACCUUCAUGUCGCGACAAUGAUCAUCACAUUUCAAGAGGACAAGGAGGAAGGGAUAAGAAUAAGAAAGGGGUUGGUUUGGGAGUGGGGGGUGAAAUAGCAUUUUAACUUAGAAGAUUCAGAUCUCUGUCACUGAGUGGCUCCAGGGUUCCAUUCCUCUGUCUGGAUAGAAUGGGAUUCAAAGCUAUGUUAGGAAAAGGAAAAAAAAAGAAUUAAGAUAAAACAUUUUCAUGCCAA